This 253-nucleotide ribosomal RNA is filed under the name uncultured bacterium. RNAcentral describes it as "partial 16S ribosomal RNA". It matches the Rfam family "Bacterial small subunit ribosomal RNA", at positions 524 to 776 of the family's 1533-position model. The record is from RNAcentral.
UACGUAGGGGGCAAGCGUUGUCCGGAAUCAUUGGGCGUAAAGAGCUCGUAGGCGGUUUGUCGCGUCUGCCGUGAAAGUCCGGGGCUCAACUCCGGAUCUGCGGUGGGUACGGGCAGACUAGAGUGAUGUAGGGGAGACUGGAAUUCCUGGUGUAGCGGUGAAAUGCGCAGAUAUCAGGAGGAACACCGAUGGCGAAGGCAGGUCUCUGGGCAUUAACUGACGCUGAGGAGCGAAAGCAUGGGGAGCGAACAGG